Molecule: non-coding RNA, 103 nt
Filed under: Actinomyces sp.
Lineage: Bacteria; Bacillati; Actinomycetota; Actinomycetes; Actinomycetales; Actinomycetaceae
Also listed under: 1 other name
Description: TPP sequence
Rfam family: TPP riboswitch aptamer (THI element)
About the family: Vitamin B(1) in its active form thiamin pyrophosphate (TPP) is an essential coenzyme that is synthesised by coupling of pyrimidine and thiazole moieties in bacteria. The previously detected thiamin-regulatory element, thi box was extended, resulting in a new, highly conserved RNA secondary structure, the THI element, which is widely distributed in eubacteria and also occurs in some archaea.
Source: RNAcentral
CCACUGUGCCACGGGAGCUCACGACGAGCUGAGAAGGGGAUGGACCCCGACCGUUGAACCUGAACCGGACCAUACCGGCGUAGGAAGGCUUCUUCCCUCGUGG